Molecule: long non-coding RNA, 857 nt
Organism: Passer domesticus (house sparrow)
Lineage: Eukaryota; Metazoa; Chordata; Aves; Passeriformes; Passeridae
Exons: 2
Source: RefSeq, a predicted model, not a curated record
CCUGGCUGCCUUGCAGCAGCUGCAGCAAUUCUGGGCAAUUGCUCACACGCUGUUCCUGCCUUUGGCCUGGUGGCUCAGGCGCAGAAGGGCGGCCAUGAGGCAGAGAGCAGUGGCCCAGAGAGCUGCAGAGGAGGCCAGAAGGAGGAGGAUGAGAAUCGAGCGAAGAAGGUGGCUCCUUAAGAAGAGAAACAAAGAGAUGGAGCAAAUGCGCAAGGCCUUGAGACAACUGCAAAAGCAAAUGGCCAGGCUGGUUCAAAUGAAUAGGGAAACAAACAGCAUGGUCAAGAAGCUUUUGAUUUGCUGGAGGAUAGAGGCAUUUGAAGGAGGAUCGGGCCAAAUGACGAAAGACUGAUGCCAAUUUUUAAAUAGUUUAGAAAUAUUUCCAGUAUUUUAGGCAUUUAUUGUAAAAUAACUCUACUGAGCACUCUUUUCCUAAUUUCAUUAAUUUUAAUGCAGAAUAAUACUCAAGUAAAAUAUCACUAUGAUGGUAAUAAUAAGUAACAGUUAAGUACCUUAAAGUAUUAUUUACUUUAUAGAUUAACUAUUAUUCAGCAAAUUUAAUAGGAAUUCUAGUAAUUAAUCACAAUUUAAAUAUGCUAAAUCUUUAUGUUAAACACUGAAUUUUACAUAAUCCACGUGAAAAAAUAAAUUUUUGUUGUAUUAUUAAUGUGUAAUAUAUAGAUUAUUACAGAUUGCAGUUAAGAUUACUGUAAUCACAAUUUCUUCAUUUCAAUUUGUAAAAUAUGUUAUUCUGAUUUGAUAAUGACAGUGACUGCCCUCCUCUCUUCAGGGAGAGUGUGUUCCCCCUGAGAGUCUCUGUCUGUGCAAUGAUGCAAUAAAGGCAAUGCCUGAACAAA